Non-coding RNA from Pelobates cultripes (western spadefoot toad), 219 nucleotides. Lineage: Eukaryota; Metazoa; Chordata; Amphibia; Anura; Pelobatidae. The record is from the annotation of a GenBank genome assembly.
AGGGAACGUUUGUAUGUAGCUUAUAGGGCGUGUGGUGUGGUGGAGUAGCAUCGGUAAGGGCUGUAACGGUAGGUCCGGGUCCGCGAUGCUCUGAAUUUUGGAAUGAAUUUGUUUCCAGUACUGCUGGAUUGUAGGGCACGACCACCAAAUAUGGAAGUCUGUCCCACCCUCGGCUCUGCACCUCCAGCAGACGUCAGGAAUUUCUCGGUUCAUGCGAUG